This 92-nucleotide non-coding RNA is filed under the name Ralstonia solanacearum UW551. RNAcentral's name for it is "Burkholderia RNA 7 (anti-hemB)". It matches the Rfam family "Burkholderia RNA 7 (anti-hemB)". From Rfam's summary of the family: This RNA motif was identified by computational search in b-proteobacteria Burkholderia. The record is from Rfam by way of RNAcentral. RNAcentral also lists the same sequence under 1 other name. Lineage: Bacteria; Pseudomonadati; Pseudomonadota; Betaproteobacteria; Burkholderiales; Burkholderiaceae.
UCCCCCGCGGCACCUCCCUGACGCGGGUACCCAUCGACGACCGUUCGAUGGGACGUUAUCCCCGUUGCGCGUCUGGCGACGGGGUUUUUUUU